RNAcentral lists this long non-coding RNA (438 nucleotides) under Helianthus annuus (common sunflower). Lineage: Eukaryota; Viridiplantae; Streptophyta; Magnoliopsida; Asterales; Asteraceae. The record is from RNAcentral.
ACCCUUUGACUCGUUCCAAAAUUUUUAUAGUUUUGCCCAAUACCCGGGUACACGACACUUCCCUUAUAACAGACCUAUAACACGGGUUCAUGGAUCGGCUCAUUACUUAGGUCUAGGAGGCAUCCGUGGACCCUUCCAAGACCCUACAAAAGAACCGGAUGAAUAGAAUUCCCAAGACCUACCCUUUGACUCGUUCCAAAAUUUUUAUAGUUUUGCCAAUACCCGGGUACACGACACUUCCCUUAUAACAGACCUAUAACACGGGUUUGUGAAUCGGCUCAUUACUUGGGUCUAGAAGGCGUCCGUGGACCCUUCCAAGACCCUACGCAAAUACCGGAUCUCAGAGAAAUCCCUAGAACUACCCUUUGACUCGUUCCAAAAUUUUUAUAGUUUUGCCCAAUACCCGGGUACACGACACUUCCCUUAUAACAGACCUAU